AACGCGAAGAACCUUACCUGGUCUUGACAUCCACGGAAGUUUCCAGAGAUGAGAAUGUGCCUUCGGGAACCGUGAGACAGGUGCUGCAUGGCUGUCGUCAGCUCGUGUUGUGAAAUGUUGGGUUAAGUCCCGCAACGAGCGCAACCCUUAUCCUUUGUUGCCUGCGGUCCGGCCGGGAACUCAAAGGAGACUGCCAGUGAUAAACUGGAGGAAGGUGGGGAUGACGUCAAGUCAUCAUGGCCCUUACGACCAGGGCUACACACGUGCUACAAUGGCGCAUACAAAGAGAAGCGACCUCGCGAGAGGAAGCGGACCUCAUAAAGUGCGUCGUAGUCCGGAUUGGAGUCUGCAACUCGACUCCAUGAAGUCGGAAUCGCUAGUAAUCGUGGAUCAGAAUGCCACGGUGAAUACGUUCCCGGGCCUUGUACACACCGA
RNAcentral lists this ribosomal RNA (435 nucleotides) under uncultured bacterium. RNAcentral's name for it is "bacterial SSU rRNA". It matches the Rfam family "Bacterial small subunit ribosomal RNA", at positions 958 to 1393 of the family's 1533-position model. The record is from RNAcentral.